This 533-nucleotide unclassified non-coding RNA is filed under the name Actinomadura luteofluorescens. Its description in RNAcentral is "partial 16S-23S ribosomal RNA intergenic spacer region". The record is from RNAcentral. Lineage: Bacteria; Bacillati; Actinomycetota; Actinomycetes; Streptosporangiales; Thermomonosporaceae.
AAGGAGCACCAACUGGCCGUCGCUCGCUGCGAGAGGAUCUGGUCGGUGGCCGGCGUUGACAGCCAGUGUCUGUCAGGUGGCUGCUCAUAGAUGUGGAGCACUGGCUACUGAGCUCACCUGGUGUGUGAGCCGGCAAGUACCGUCCUUCGGUUUCGGCUGGGGGAGUGGGAACGGCGGUUUCAGGCGGCGGGUGGGUUGGACACGCUGUUGGGUCCUGAGGGAACGGGCGCGAGCUCGGGUGGACCUCGGACUACGGGACCAGGACCACAUUCCUUGUGGUGGUGUGGUUUUGGUGGGCCCGGUUGUUUUUUGAGAACUGCACAGUGGACGCGAGCAUCUCUGGUGAGAUGAUGAGAUGCCUCCUUUUGGUGAGGGUGGUGGGUUUUGGUGGCCCGGUUGUUUUUUAAAAACUGCCAGUGACGCAACAUCUCUGGUAAAUGAUAAAAGCACGUUCCAAAAGAUUCCUCCUUUUGGGAAGGUGUUUUCGGGUUUGUUUUGUUGGUUAUCUGCGAUUUGUUCCUGAUCCGUUUUGU